GAUGAACGCUGGCGGCGUGUUUAAGGCAUGCAAGUCGUGGGAUCGGCCUUUUUUUUUCUUCGGAAUUUUGAGGUACGGACCGGCAAACGGGUGAGUAACACAUUGGUAACCUACCUUCAAGACGGGGAUAGCCCGGCGAAAGCCGGAUUAAUACCCGAUAGUCAUAGAAGAACUUAUGUUUUUCUAUGUAAAUCCUUUUGGGCUUGAAGAGGGGCCUAUGUCUGAUUAGUUAGUUGGUGAGGUAAUAGCUUACCAAGACCGUGAUCAGUAGCAGGCGUGAGAGCGUGACCUGCCUCACUGGGACUGAGACACUGCCCAGACUCUUACGGGAGGCAGCAGUGGGGAAUUUUGGACAAUGGGGGGAACCCUGAUCCAGCCAUGCCGCGUGCAGGAUGAAGGCCUUGGGUUGUAAACUGCUUUUGUUACGGAACGAAAAGGUCUUUCUAAUAAAGAAGGCUGAUGACGGUACCGUAAGAAUAAGCACCGGCUAACUACGUG
RNAcentral lists this ribosomal RNA (498 nucleotides) under uncultured bacterium. RNAcentral's name for it is "bacterial SSU rRNA". It matches the Rfam family "Bacterial small subunit ribosomal RNA", at positions 28 to 507 of the family's 1533-position model. The record is from RNAcentral.